RNAcentral lists this ribosomal RNA (253 nucleotides) under uncultured bacterium. Its description in RNAcentral is "partial 16S ribosomal RNA". It matches the Rfam family "Bacterial small subunit ribosomal RNA", at positions 524 to 776 of the family's 1533-position model. The record is from RNAcentral.
UACGAAGGGGGCUAGCGUUAUCCGGAAUUAUUGGGCGUAAAGAGCUCGUAGGCGGUUUGUCGCGUCUGCCGUGAAAGUCCGGGGCUCAACUCCGGAUCUGCGGUGGGUACGGGCAGACUAGAGUGAUGUAGGGGAGACUGGAAUUCCUGGUGUAGCGGUGAAAUGCGCAGAUAUCAGGAGGAACACCGAUGGCGAAGGCAGGUCUCUGGGCAUUAACUGACGCUGAGGAGCGAAAGCAUGGGGAGCGAACAGG